Globicephala melas (long-finned pilot whale) is the source of this 553-nucleotide long non-coding RNA. RefSeq lists it as uncharacterized. Lineage: Eukaryota; Metazoa; Chordata; Mammalia; Artiodactyla; Delphinidae. The record is from RefSeq and is a predicted model, not a curated record.
CGCUGGAGCCUCUCUGGGUGGCGGCGGGGCUGGUGCAGCCGGUCUGAUCUACGAGACAGGUACUCUGUCUCCCAGAGCUUGCCCAAGACCACACAGCCUGAACCAGGAUUUGCUCUGCUGGCCGCUUCUCAAUUCCUCUGACUGCGGCCUCCAAGGAGGGCGUGUUGCCCAGGGAACUGAGAUGAAGAAACAACUCCAGCGUUGCCCGAGGUCCCACGGGGAUCAGUCACGUGGUCGGCCACAACAGAGGAUUCCCCAUGACAGGGGACCACGAGUUGGAUCCUGGCCAGAAGCCAGAAGCCCCUUGAGGGCAAGGACCCCAUUUUACCCCAUUCCUCCCUGCUGUACCUAGCACAGGGCACAGCACAUAGCGGGUGCUCGAAAAGUCCUUCACGAGUAAAUCUUGCAUCCCUCGGUAGCUGCAGUCACCUGCCGUUCUCGCCGUCGUUCAUUUAUUCAGCAUUUAGUAAGCGCUGACUGUGUGCUUGGCACCCUACUGGGCGCUGGGACGCACAGUUGAAUAAGGCACAGUGCCUGCCCCUGUUGGCUUAUC